Molecule: ribosomal RNA, 458 nt
Filed under: uncultured Pseudomonas sp.
Lineage: Bacteria; Pseudomonadati; Pseudomonadota; Gammaproteobacteria; Pseudomonadales; Pseudomonadaceae
Description: bacterial SSU rRNA
Rfam family: Bacterial small subunit ribosomal RNA
Source: RNAcentral
CACAAGCGGUGGAGCAUGUGGUUAAUUCGAAGCAACGCGAAGAACCUUACCAGGCCUUGACAUGCAGAGAACUUUCCAGAGAUGGAUUGGUGCCUUCGGGAACUCUGACACAGGUGCUGCAUGGCUGUCGUCAGCUCGUGUCGUGAGAUGUUGGGUUAAGUCCCGUAACGAGCGCAACCCUUGUCCUUAGUUACCAGCACGUUAUGGUGGGCACUCUAAGGAGACUGCCGGUGACAAACCGGAGGAAGGUGGGGAUGACGUCAAGUCAUCAUAGCCCUUACGGCCUGGGCUACACACGUGCUACAAUGGUCGGUACAAAGGGUUGCCAAGCCGCGAGGUGGAGCUAAUCCCAUAAAACCGAUCGUAGUCCGGAUCGCAGUCUGCAACUCGACUGCGUGAAGUCGGAAUCGCUAGUAAUCGUGAAUCAGAAUGUCACGGUGAAUACGUUCCCGGGCCUU